Molecule: long non-coding RNA, 2794 nt
Filed under: Olea europaea subsp. europaea
Lineage: Eukaryota; Viridiplantae; Streptophyta; Magnoliopsida; Lamiales; Oleaceae
Source: RNAcentral
GAAACAUGCUCGUAAUUUUAUCAUUUACACCAUAAUAAGAGGAAGGAUCAGCAAAAUAAGAGAAUCUCACUCCAAUUGGAGAUUCCAAACAACAUAUUUGCUUCUGUAAAUCAAUAAUUUUGGUAGCAGAAUAUUAAACAACUUUUUAAGUGAUAUUGAAAAUAUGAAUAUUCACAAAAUAGACCAGUAAAGCAGUUCUAUUCUUUUCCACAUCAUAGGGCAUAAAAAAUAAUGCAAGGCAGCACCACCAAGAGUAAUAGUGAAAGAAGGAGGGAGGAUGUUUAAAGCUCCUUUCUGCAUUCCCUGCUGUAGAAGGCCAUAUUAAUUUCAUCUACUGGUAUCAAAUUAUAUUUUUACAUUAGUCUGAAACCACAAAUUUAACCAAGAGGCAGCUAACAGCAAUUAUAAUAUCCCCCUAGUAUGCACUUUUCAUGGAAUGUGAUCUUGCAUGAAAUUUUACCUAGAAAAAGAGUUGAGGAUCUCCCAAAACGAACUUGAAUUCUGGAUGAAAAUGCACCCCUACCUAAAAAAGAUGGUCUGGAAGCUCCAAAAUCUGCAGAAAUAGGAGUGAUUAGAUGCAAAGAGGAAGAAUUCAGCAUCAUGAAACCUCAACAUGUAACUGCACAAAUGAAUGGAAAAGUGAUUGGGUUACCUUGCUGCUGAUAAACAUUUAAGCACACAAGCAUCAGCAAACCUUAAAUAAAAUAGGACAAUUAUUUCUACAACAGAAAGCAAGAUAAAGAUAGGUAACCUCCAUUAGCUCCCCACUUUCAUACUUCCUGACAAAUUCAAGCCAGAUUCUUCCAAAAUGCUAAUCAUCUCUGGGUUCACCUGCAAGAAUUGAUGAGUAAAUAUGUAGCGUUCGAGAUAAGAAUACAUCUAUCAAAUAGUGACUCUAUUAAGUAAUAUUAAUUAACAUCAUAUCUAUGUCACACCUGUAGAGAGAAAAAUAGUUAGAAUAGAUCAUGCACAGCAAAUCAUUGUGGGAUCAAACAGAUUCUACUCGUAGAAUACAAAGGUGAUAAUCUCUUCAAAAUUCCAGGUCCCAAAAGAAUAUAUUUUACACUGUCAUGCAUAACUUCCCGAAGAAAAAAUGCACAAUUAAGUUCGUCGAUUCCACCAGCUUGAAAAUAGAAUACUACACGUAGAAAUAAAAAGUACAAAUUAAACUUCAGGCAAAUUACCUGUAAAGAGAAAAUGUAGACUCAUUAAAGGAAAUGCAAAUAUUCAACACGAACCGAUAAGAAAUAAACUGAAAGAAUGAUUCUUUCUUUUCCUUUUUUUGGGGAAUAUUUGCUCAACAAAUAAAUAAUACACCACUACAUCCAUCAAUUCAACCAACUUGCUUUAGAAGCACAUAAAUAAAUAGAUAAUUAACACUUAUUUCACCAAAUAACCAAGAACCCAUCAAGAUAUUCCCCACAAAUUAAUUUAUAAAAACUUUCACAUCUAACAAUAAAUUCUAAAUCAAGAACCUGAAUCAUCAAUCACGCAGUAUCAAUCACAUCACAUCUUCUGGCAUCAAGUCUAUAAAAAAUAAAGGUAUAGAUCUAUAGCUGUAAAACUUAAGCAGGAUCGAUAGAGAAGACGAAAAAAGAGAACUCUGCAAGAACGCCAAAGACUCAAAAUUGUAGACCAACGCUCUUUCUUCCCAUACUUCUUCAAAUAACUCUUCUCAAAACCUUGGCCUAACCAUUGCCCUGAACUAACCAACCCAUUCCCAUAAUACCCCAGUACCCAAAAAUUAGUUGACAAAUCCUACUCCUUAAAAUGCAUUCAGAUAUAGAAAAAAUUGACAGAUUGAUGUGAAUUGCAGCUCAAAGAUAGUAUCAAUUGAAACGGCACUAAAAUGCAAGUCUCGAACUUAUGAAAAAUAAAAUAGUUUGUGAAACAGGAAAAGGGCUCCUGAAUAAAUAAAUUAUGCGACACUUAAAUCCCAUAAAACCUUCAUAAGAAAUCAAAAGAAUUAUAAACUUAUUUAAAUCGUAAGGCAUAAGACUGUCGACAAAUUUCCUUAACAAAGAAUUGGAAUUGUUCAAUUUGAUUUUUAAAAAAUUAAAAAUCAAAACGAUACUAAAACGUGCUUCUCAAUUUCAUUAACCCCUAAUUUAUCAACAGGGAAAAAUGGGAUCUUGACUAAAUAAAUUUGGAAAUAUUUCAACCAAUAAAAACUUCGUAAAAAAUUACAAGAAUUAUAAUCAUAAGCCGCAAGACUAUUGGCUAAUUACCUUAUUAAGGAAUCACUGAAUUUGCUGUAGUUGAUGCUGAAGAAGAUGAAGGUGGGGAUUUCUUUACAACUGUCGAACGAAAAAGAAGAGAACAAAAAAUCAAAAAUUAAACAAUAAACUUGAACAAACUCGAAGAUGAAGAAAUAAACAGUCAAAGAACAAAUGAAAAGUGUGAAAAUUCUGAUUGCCGAAAUUCUUUUAGUCUUGUUUUAUAGCACAACAAUAAUAUUAAACCCCACAGCCCAGUAAUAUAAACAGACGCUUCUACAGCUUUUCUCAUGUUUUUGUUGCUUUCAUUGAUGAGCCUAUUUGAAAUCGAAGUAGAGGACGAGUUGCGCUCGUGUAUGUAGAUUCUGAUAUAGGCGUAGGCUGCGAAUCACUCGGAUUCCAAAAUUUAGGUGGACGGCAACUUCAGUUCCUCCUCCAUGGCGUUAACCACGGGAUCCUUGGGGCCUGCUUGGGAGUUUUUAUUUCAUCGGUUUUGGAUGGUACCGUUUAUGAAGGGUUGGAAGAACCGGUGGUUGCGAGUUUAUUUGGGCACCGGCUUCGAAUGGUUUAAAAACCAC